CUACGGGGGGCUGCAGUGAGGAAUAUUGGUCAAUGGGCGCAAGCCUGAACCAGCCAUCCCGCGUGAAGGAUGACUGCCCUAUGGGUUGUAAACUUCUUUUAUGUACCAAGAAUGUGUCCUACGUGUAGGAUUUUGACGGUAGUACAUGAAUAAGCAUCGGCUAACUCCGUGCCAGCAGCCGCGGUAAUACGGAGGAUGCGAGCGUUAUCCGGAUUCAUUGGGUUUAAAGGGUGCGUAGGCGGCUUUAUAAGUCAGUGGUGAAAUCCUGCGGCUCAACCGUAGAACUGCCAUUGAUACUGUAGAGCUUGAAUACAGAUGAAGUAGGCGGAAUGAGUAGUGUAGCGGUGAAAUGCUUAGAUAUUACUCAGAACACCGAUUGCGAAGGCAGCUUACUAAACUGAUAUUGACGCUGAUGCACGAAAGCGUGGGGAGCGAACAGGAUUAGAUACCCUCGUAGUC
Molecule: ribosomal RNA, 459 nt
Filed under: uncultured bacterium
Lineage: Bacteria
Description: partial 16S ribosomal RNA
Rfam family: Bacterial small subunit ribosomal RNA
Source: RNAcentral